UUUUUUUUUUUUUGUUCAUCAGCCAAAACAAAUAAAACUGGUGUCCAAAGCAAUCUUUGUCAAAUCAUAAGACAUCUAUCACCAAGAGCAUGGUGUUCUUUGAUGAAAUCUGUCUAAUAUUUAUGCUCAUAAAUACAGCUUCUGCAAUCUCUCUCCUUUAAGUCAUAGCUGCUUUUUUUUUUUUUUGUAUAAUUAGUUGCUUAUUUAUCCAUUUUCUUCAGCUUUUCUAAGGCCAUGACAAACUAUAGAAGCUAGGUUACAAAUGGAAUUUCAGACUAUACAGAUCUAAAAUAAUUUCUUACAGAAAAUUCACAAGAUAUUUAAGCAGAAAGAUAUAAAUAUACCUUUUUAUGGGUUGUUUGUACUUUUUUUUCCUGGAUUACAAUUUUUGUUUUCAUCUGCAUAAUAUUUUAAAUGUAUCCAUGCAACUCCUUCCAUUUUGUUUCACAAUUAUCUUUUUGGUUUGGAUAUUGUGAAUUGGGUGUUUAGGCAAAAGAAAGCGUCUCUCUUAUGUGGUAGGAAGACUCUUCUCAGCAGUUACUGAAGAUCUCCAUCAGCCAAACAGCAUCCUUCUGUCAUGUCAGUGGAGGUCAGGAGUUGAGGCAAUUCUUGAUAUGAGCAACUUGCUUCUCUAAUAACAUGGCUACAGGCUAAUCUGCAGUUACGAAGGCUUAACAGCCUCAUUUGCUGCUGGGUGGGAACAUCUGAGCUAAAGUUCUCAUUAAAAGAACGUACUGAAAUUUUUGGAAUGGCGGGGGGAAAAGUUGAAAACCUCACAAUUAAAAUAAACUGAAGGUCUUUGCUGUUGGUCCAUUGUGUAAAAGCUCCAAGUUUGCACACAAGAUGCAGUCACUUCAUAGAAAUUGCAGUUACAUUGAUUAAAUACCUCUCUCUCUAGAUAUGUUUUAAGAACCACCUUUGGAAUGCUGAAGGGAUGGCUAAACAAUUGUGGAUCAUGGAAAUUGAGAACUGAAAUAGAUUAAAAGGUUUGGGUUAGUUGUUUAUGUAGUGCUAGUAGGAUAGAAUGAAACUGCAUGAACUGAUCACACUGAAAUAAAUAGAACCACGCUGAGAGACUCAGAGAAGGGAAAGUCCUCCAGUCCUGUAGCUACAAGUGAAUAAAUGGCAGAAGUGUGAAGGGUCACGCGCUGUUGUUGUAUUUCUUUGGAGAUUAAUAAAUGGCGAUAAUUUUGAGGAAGUGUUGUUCUCAGUGUGAUCUGCACGAAGGCACAGUGUGGCUCAGAGAAGCGUUAUUCUGUGAGCUGUGCUGUGCCUGUUGUGCAGAUCAGCGGGAAGGGAGGAGAAUGGAUGACAUCUGCCUUAAACACUGGCAUCCAGAGAGACUGCUCUUCCCUCCUGUGGCACUGUGCUCAUGCUAUGCUCAGUGCAUCCAGUUCUGAAGGAAUCCCUUCCCAUCUCCCUCAGUGCCAGGGAAAAGAAGACAAGUGUUCUCUUAGUUGUGUUAUUGGCUCAGUCCUCUGGCAGCAGACUGUGCACUGCUCUACCUGCUGAUACACACACACUGCAGACACUUCCUCGUGAGAACAAAUUGAAGUUAAAUUGAUUAAACAGCUGUUCUGUGCUGACAACAAGGCAUGUCCUUUUAUCAUGUGGUCUACCUAAUGGAAGGAAAAUUGUAAAUUUAUUGACUAGGAAAUAGAAAAAAUAUUAAUACCACUGGACCAUAUAGUGGCACUUGAUUUUUGGCUCUGUCCAAACAAGGUAAAAUUUUAGGCACUAAGCAAAAUACUGUGAACUUUUUAGGUAUCUACAAUCUAUAUUAGAAUAAGUAGCUUCAUAGUUUUGAUGUACCUAGUGAUCUGUUUUAAAGGCAUUUUUUACAAUUUUACCCUAAAUAAAUAAAUAAUAAUAAUAAUGGUAAUGAUAAAAUAAUAUGAAAAUAUAUAAUAACAAUAUCUUAGAAAAGAGAAGUGGUUCAUAGUGUUCUGUGCACAUCUGGAAGGCCAUUUAGUGUUUAAAUAAAUCUGACAGAAUGGAAUGAGCUUUGGACAGGAAAUACUGACACUGAAUUUAGUUUCUUCACUGGUUCUUUAUGCUCGGACAAGUAUAGAAUUAAUAAUAAUUUAAAUGCAAAAAUGUAAAGAUACAUCCAUAAUCUAAGAAUUUGUCUCUCCCUGAUUUAGCUUUCAUUGUUCUUGACUGUAAUGAGGCAAUUUUUCUUUCUGUUUGCUCAGACUUCUGCCCCAUAUCAGUAGGUUAAUAUCCCAUACUUUGCAGUACUUGGAAGGGACUAUAUACAAAGGCCAAAAUAAUCCUGGAUCAUUUCAGAGAAAAAAUGCAAUAUAAUUUUCUUAACUAGUAGUCCUUGGAAAUAUACAAAAUCCAUUUCUUGUUUAAAUUUUGCUUCCGCAAGUGAUUUCAUAAACCCUCUAGUAUGUCACAGGAAAUUAUUCUUUUUAUCUUUUUCCAAAUAUUUAUUUGUCUGAAUGAUCCUUAACAUCUAAAAAGUGUGCAAAUAUAAAUUAGGGACUUUCCAGCACUGAGUGGGAAUAGCAAUCUCCAAAGUAUAUAAUCAACAAUCUAUAUACUUUUCACUUUUUUAUGCAUCAUGGAGUUAAUGUAUAAUUACUUACUAAUUGGUUACAAUGUUUUUGUAAGGAAUCUUCAUGCUGUCUGAAUUACAGUAGCCUCUUAUCUGGACUUACUUGAUUAAAAAAAAACAUAAUCAAAGUAAUUAAUAUGCCUGCAAGAGUAAUAUGCACAUUUCACCUAGAUAAUUUUUAUGCCGGGUUCUUUGCCAUAGGAUUCCAACAGAGUUACAAAAGACUGGUUAAAAGAAGCUUCCAAGGAGCAAUCUGAAUAAUACUGCUCAAAAUGUUCUGCCUGGGAUAAUUUCUAAAAAACAAGUCACAUUAAAUUCUCCUCUUAUUGUUUGCUGCUCAAUUUGUCAACUGGGGCAAUGUAACUUCAAGAAACUGUAACUCUGAAAGUUACUGUAGAAGGCUGUUUUAUAGUUAACGUUUUGCACAUAUGAGCAGCUCUUGACAAACUGUGUCCCAAUUAUGCAGUUUGCAGUUUAACCAUUAUUUGUGUGUAGAAGCAUCUGUGCGGGCAUUAUUUUGACCAAAUCGACCUAGAAGCAGUAAACAAACUUAUUUGUUGUGCUUGUGCUCUUGCCAC
Taeniopygia guttata (zebra finch) is the source of this 3141-nucleotide long non-coding RNA. The record is from Ensembl. NCBI's taxonomy places the organism in Eukaryota, Metazoa, Chordata, Aves, Passeriformes, Estrildidae.